GCCUGGCUAGCUCAAUCGGUAGAGCGUGAGACUCUUAAUCUCAAGGCUGUGGGUUUAAGCCCCACGUCAGGCU
This 73-nucleotide transfer RNA is filed under the name Yarrowia sp. B02. RNAcentral's name for it is "tRNA-Lys". It matches the Rfam family "tRNA". Rfam says of the family: Transfer RNA (tRNA) molecules are approximately 80 nucleotides in length. Their secondary structure includes four short double-helical elements and three loops (D, anti-codon, and T loops). Lineage: Eukaryota; Fungi; Ascomycota; Dipodascomycetes; Dipodascales. The record is from RNAcentral.